This 222-nucleotide ribosomal RNA is filed under the name Bacteroidales bacterium. Its description in RNAcentral is "partial 23S ribosomal RNA". It matches the Rfam family "Bacterial large subunit ribosomal RNA", at positions 2690 to 2925 of the family's 2925-position model. The record is from RNAcentral. Lineage: Bacteria; Pseudomonadati; Bacteroidota; Bacteroidia; Bacteroidales.
GACCGUGUUGGACAAACCUCUAGUGUACCUGUUGUGGCGCCAGCUGCAUCGCAGGGUAGCUACGUUUGGAAGAGAUAAGUGCUGAAAGCAUCUAAGCACGAAGCUCGCCUCAAGAUGAGGUUUCCUUAAAGGGUCGUUGAAGAUUACAACGUUGAUAGGUUGCAGGUGUAAAGGCAGUAAUGUCAAAGCCGAGCAAUACUAAUUACCCGAAAUCUUUUUAUA